RNAcentral lists this ribosomal RNA (112 nucleotides) under Salmonella enterica subsp. enterica serovar Infantis. The record is from RNAcentral. RNAcentral also lists the same sequence under 64 other names. Lineage: Bacteria; Pseudomonadati; Pseudomonadota; Gammaproteobacteria; Enterobacterales; Enterobacteriaceae.
GCGGCACUAGCGCGGUGGUCCCACCUGACCCCAUGCCGAACUCAGAAGUGAAACGCCGUAGCGCCGAUGGUAGUGUGGGGUCUCCCCAUGCGAGAGUAGGGAACUGCCAGGC